AGAGUUUGAUCCUGGCUCAGGGUGAACGCUGGCGGCGUGCCUAACACAUGCAAGUCGAGCGGGUACCCGCAAGGGUACCAGCGGCGCACGGGUGAGUAACACGUGGGUAAUCUACCCCUCGGAGGGGGAUAACCGGGGGAAACUCCGGCUAAUACCCCAUACGAUCCAACAACACAAGUUGUUGGAUGAAAGGAGCGUUUGCUCCGCCGAGGGAUGAGCCCGCGGCCCAUCAGGUAGUUGGUGGGGUAAUGGCCCACCAAGCCUACGACGGGUAGCCGGCCUGAGAGGGUGGUCGGCCACAAGGGCACUGAGACACGGGCCCUACUCCUACGGGAGGCAGCAGUGGGGAAUCUUGGACAAUGGGCGAAAGCCUGAUCCAGCGACGCCGCGUGGGGGAUGAAGCCCUUCGGGGUGUAAACCCCUGUUGCGAGGGAGGAAUAAGGCCUGGAGGAAAUGCCAGGCCGAUGACUGUACCUCGCGAGGAAGCCCCGGCUAACUACGUGCCAGCAGCCGCGGUAAUACGUAGGGGGCGAGCGUUACCCGGAUUCACUGGGCGUAAAGCGGGUGUAGGCGGCUCGGUAAGUCGGGUGUGAAAUCCCACAGCUCAACUGUGGAAUUGCGCCCGAAACUGCUGAGCUUGGGGCCGGUAGAGGGAGACGGAACUGCCGGUGUAGGGGUGAAAUCCGUAGAUAUCGGCAGGAACGCCGGUGGGGAAGCCGGUCUCCUGGGCCGCGCCCGACGCUGAGACCCGAAAGCUAGGGGAGCAAACCGGAUUAGAUACCCGGGUAGUCCUAGCCGUAAACGAUGCCCACUAGUGUGGGGGAUUAAUUCCUCCGUGCUGUAGCUAACGCGUUAAGUGGGCCGCCUGGGGAGUACGCCCGCAAGGGUGAAACUCAAAGGAAUUGACGG
This 909-nucleotide ribosomal RNA is filed under the name uncultured Thermotoga sp. Its description in RNAcentral is "bacterial SSU rRNA". It matches the Rfam family "Bacterial small subunit ribosomal RNA", at positions 8 to 916 of the family's 1533-position model. The record is from RNAcentral. Lineage: Bacteria; Thermotogati; Thermotogota; Thermotogae; Thermotogales; Thermotogaceae.